CCUACGGGAGGCAGCAGUGGGGAAUAUUGCACAAUGGGGGAAACCCUGAUGCAGCGACGCCGCGUGAGUGAAGAAGUAUUUCGUUACGUAAAGCUCUAUCAGCAGGGAAGAAAAUGACGGUACCUGAGUAAGAAGCCCCGGCUAACUACGUGCCAGCAGCCGCGGUAAUACGUAGGGGGCAAGCGUUAUCCGGAUUUACUGGGUGUAAAGGGAGCGUAGACGGCAGUGCAAGUCUGGAGUGAAAGGCGGGGGCGCAACCCCGGGACUGCUCUGGAAACUGUAAGGCUGGAGUGCAGGAGAGGUAAGUGGAAUUCCUAGUGUAGCGGUGAAAUGCGUAGAUAUCAGGAGGAACACCAGCGGCGAAGGCGGCUUACUGGACUGUAACUGACGUUGAGGCUCGAAGGCGUGGGGAGCAAACAGGAUUAGAUACCCGAGUAGUC
This 440-nucleotide ribosomal RNA is filed under the name uncultured bacterium. Its description in RNAcentral is "partial 16S ribosomal RNA". It matches the Rfam family "Bacterial small subunit ribosomal RNA", at positions 338 to 795 of the family's 1533-position model. The record is from RNAcentral.